AAUACUCAACUUCUACUUCUGUGGACAAACUACUAGGAUAAGUGGUAGGGAGUGCGGACGAAAGGCUCGGAGCAGAAGUUGUAAUUGGUGAGGAAGUAGUUGGCUGCAAGGUACUGGUAGCGAUUGUUGAAGGAGUCGAAUCAAUCGUAGUACUAUCUUGGGAGCUUCCUGAUGAUGAUGUAGAAGAAGACGUUAAAGAUACAGGUGUAGAACUCGUGAAUGACGAUGAAUCAAUUGUUUGUGUUGGAACAGAGCUAGUCGAAGAUUUCGUUUCAUAAAAUGUGGAUUCAGUUGGUGACACGGUGUUAGUCAAGGAUGAUGAUUCAAGCGUACUAGCACCGAUGUAGUUGAUAAC
Molecule: non-coding RNA, 355 nt
Organism: Schizosaccharomyces pombe (fission yeast)
Lineage: Eukaryota; Fungi; Ascomycota; Schizosaccharomycetes; Schizosaccharomycetales; Schizosaccharomycetaceae
Source: the annotation of a GenBank genome assembly